UACGUAGGGUGCGAGCGUUGUCCGGAAUUAUUGGGCGUAAAGGGCUCGUAGGCGGUUUGUCGCGUCGGGAGUGAAAACCUUGGGCUUAACUCAGGGCUUGCUUUCGAUACGGGCAGACUAGAGGUAUGCAGGGGAGAACGGAAUUCCUGGUGUAGCGGUGAAAUGCGCAGAUAUCAGGAGGAACACCGAUGGCGAAGGCAGGUCUCUGGGCCGAUACUGACGCUGAGGAGCGAAAGCGUGGGGAGCGAACAGG
This 253-nucleotide ribosomal RNA is filed under the name uncultured bacterium. RNAcentral's name for it is "partial 16S ribosomal RNA". It matches the Rfam family "Bacterial small subunit ribosomal RNA", at positions 524 to 776 of the family's 1533-position model. The record is from RNAcentral.